This is a long non-coding RNA of Sardina pilchardus (European sardine), 549 nucleotides long. RefSeq lists it as uncharacterized. NCBI's taxonomy places the organism in Eukaryota, Metazoa, Chordata, Actinopteri, Clupeiformes, Clupeidae. The transcript is spliced from 4 exons. The record is from RefSeq and is a predicted model, not a curated record.
GUGACUGGCUAUCUCCCCCAUGGGUCUGCUUUAAGCUGCAUGUGACUGGACCGAGUAAUCAGACAGCCAAUGUGCAAGGAGAGGAUGCAGCCAGCGUGCAAGGAGAGGAUGCAGCCAGCCUCAGGUGUCACCAGGAAAAAAAUGCAGGCCGAAUGCCUUAAGAAACAUCCCAAUCUAUCCAUCCUGCAAGACAAAAUGAUCCGCACACGAGUAGAGAGGAGAAAAUACUUGCAAACUCAUUCAACUAUGGAGGCCCUUGAAGAAUAUCCUGGGCUAAGAUUCCCAGUUAUACUCCUCACAGAAUCACAAAGCCAGCUAGAUGUUGACAUAGACCGCAGCAUCAUGACAGGAAUGGGUCAAAUCACAAAGAAGGUCAUAGAGGAAUGUCAGCGGCGAGCUACUGGACAGGACCUCUUUUGCAUGUAUGAGGAGGCCAAAUCAAUGCAACAUGAGGAGUGUCACAGAGGUCUGCAAGUCAUCCUGGGCACCUUGCUCCUUCCAUACCUGUUCAGAGAGAACCCCAAAGCACUUUAUGUGAUCAAUAGAAAG